This 406-nucleotide ribosomal RNA is filed under the name Proteus mirabilis. Its description in RNAcentral is "bacterial SSU rRNA". It matches the Rfam family "Bacterial small subunit ribosomal RNA", at positions 1128 to 1533 of the family's 1533-position model. The record is from RNAcentral. Lineage: Bacteria; Pseudomonadati; Pseudomonadota; Gammaproteobacteria; Enterobacterales; Morganellaceae.
AUGGUGGGAACUCAAAGGAGACUGCCGGUGAUAAACCGGAGGAAGGUGGGGAUGACGUCAAGUCAUCAUGGCCCUUACGAGUAGGGCUACACACGUGCUACAAUGGCAGAUACAAAGAGAAGCGACCUCGCGAGAGCAAGCGGAACUCAUAAAGUCUGUCGUAGUCCGGAUUGGAGUCUGCAACUCGACUCCAUGAAGUCGGAAUCGCUAGUAAUCGUAGAUCAGAAUGCUACGGUGAAUACGUUCCCGGGCCUUGUACACACCGCCCGUCACACCAUGGGAGUGGGUUGCAAAAGAAGUAGGUAGCUUAACCUUCGGGAGGGCGCUUACCACUUUGUGAUUCAUGACUGGGGUGAAGUCGUAACAAGGUAACCGUAGGGGAACCUGCGGUUGGAUCACCUCCUUA